UGGAAAAGAAUUGGUGAAGAUGUUUCCAGUGUUGAUCAAUUGAUUGUGAAAAGAUCAAAACAUCAUCAAUGUAGACAAUGGAGCAGUCACUAUAAGGAUUGAUUAUGUCAUUCAUUAUGUUUUGGAAUUCGCUAGGGGCAUUUUUUAAUCCGAAUGGCAUAACAUUCCAUUUAUAAUAACCAAAGGGUGUGACAAAUGCAGUUUUGUAUUUGUCAGUUUCACUAAUUUGAAUUUGCCAAAAUCCUUAUCAAAUUUACUAAAGAUAGCAUAUUUGUUUAACCUUGUUUCUGCAUAAACCCGUAAGCUUAGCAAGAACAUGACAGAACUAGAACACACACACGAUAACAUUUAUAGUGGUUCACCAUGCCGGCGGAGGGCAUGGCUACGUCCACUUGGAAUUCACUAUCGGGAGGCCUCAAUGCCUUUGAUGGUGUUACAAGAUUAUGAGCCUCCAAGAUGUUGCCAUGGGUGGGAGAAGAAGAUCGAUCCCUUCUACUUAGGAGGAACCCUUCCUUUAUAGAUUAGGAAGGUUCCCACUUACAACACACUUUCGAUGUGGGACACAUUACACAUAUUUCUUAUCACGAUGCCUCAUUGCCGUGCUUGGAGGAGGACCUCCUGAUGUGAUAUUGAUGAUCCGACUCCAUGAUGAUGUAGUUUGCAUGUCGGUCUACAAGUUUCAUGACUAGUCUAUGGGCGGGGAAGGUAGUUUAUCAACUACCGACUACAAGUCCCCCCAAGUUCCCAUUCAAGACGUGUCUUGAGUGGGGACUUGAUAUAUAAAGCGCCCAUAGACUAGUCAUUUAUUAACAGGCACCCGGCCCCAGUCCCCCAANNNNNNNNNNNNNNNNNNNNAACGGGAGGCUAGUUGCGGCCGAGCUGGAAGCAAGGUCUCCGGGAGGGGAGCCGUCGGACCCGGCGUUGGAGUCUCCGUGGGAUGCAUCGGACCUAUGCAUCGGAGCCUCCGGGAGAGGAACAAGCUGCCAUCGAGUGCCCAAACUUGAUGACCGGGUGCACAGAGCAAACUCCCUUUUUUUUUUCAAAGGGACUCCGGCGAGCUGCUGCCGAGUCGGGAUCCCGAUUGGUAGCUUCAUCAGCCUUCCCGGUGACUGCAAGAGAGCCCCUCGCCCUUUCCAUUGCUAUACCAGCCCGUGAACUAUCGCUUCCCGGAGACUGCUUCACGUUGCCGGUGAUGCCCCCUCUUUCCGGGCGACACCUUAUCCCGGGCGGAUCUUCGAGUGCUGCCGCUGGAGCCACCGGGAGAAGAAGAUAACCGGGCAGCGGGUGGAGUCGAUCGUCACCUGAGUCGGGAUCCCGAUGGAGGCGUCUUCAGCUCUUGGGUGGUCCCGAUGAUUAAAAGGAUUCCCGGGCGGGCUUGGUGGCUUGGGUCAGAUGGGUUGGGCCUCUCCUGCAACCCCGGGCUGAUUUUCCUGUUGGUGAAGCAACAGACUUCUUGUGUCGACUGCACUCGUUUGGCAAAUGGGAGGUCGGCUCUCAAUGAGAGCACCAAAUGUUUCUGCAUAAACCCGUAAGCUUAGCAAGAACAUGACAGAACUAGAACACACACACACAACAACAUUUAUAGUGGUUCACCAUGCCGGCAGAGGGCAUGGCUACGUCCACUUGGAAUUCACUAUCGGGAGGCCUCAAUGCCUUUGAUGGUGUUACAAGAUUAUGAGCCUCCAAGAUGUUGCCAUGGGUGGGAGAAGAAGAUCGAUCCUUUCUACUUAGGAGGAACCCUUCCUUUAUAGAUUAGGAAGGUUCCCACUUACAACACACUUUCGAUGUGGGACACAUUACACAUAUUUCUUAUCACGAUGCCUCAUUGCCGUGCUUGGAGGAGGACCUCCUGAUGUGAUAUUGAUGAUCCGACUCCAUGAUGAUGUAGUUUGCAUGUCGGUCUACAAGUUUCAUGACUAGUCUAUGGGCGGGGAAGGUAGUUUAUCAACUACCGACUACAAGUCCCCCCAAGUUCCCAUUCAAGACGUGUCUUGAGUGGGGACUUGAUAUAUAAAGCGCCCAUAGACUAGUCAUUUAUUAACAGGCACCCGGCCCCAGUCCCCCCAAGUCCGUACUCAAGAGGUGUGUUGAACAGGUUUUGCAUGUUCCGGGUCUUGCUUGUCUUGACGUACACCGUAAUCUUUAAAUCCGCCGAUAAGACAAAAAUGCCCAUCCCGACUCCCGGCCUCAAAACUUAUUCGGCCAGGCGAGGAUUAUUGUACCUUCACAAUUAACAAAUGAUCGAUUAGCAGCUUACAUAAUUUCUUGGUGGAAUGCCUCUCGGUCUAAUGCCAAUCUCCCGGUCGAAUGCGUAUCCCGCUUGAUAUUAGUCAGGAUGUUAAUGACUUAUGCCUCUCAGUCUAAUGCCUAUCCCGCUUGAUAUUACUCGGGAUUUUAAUGACUUAUACCUCUCGGUCGAAUGCCAAAACCUACUGACCAGCAUGCAUACUCAUAUACAUAUACAGGUUGACUUGCAAGUAAGACGAAAUCAUGUCAUCAAUAUUAUGAACUUUCACAAACCACGAGAUAGGGACUUAUCUGUGAAAAUAGCUGCUAAAUGGGUGCACCCAGUAGACCGGAAGUGUGAACUGUGAACACUAAAGACUUUCAAGAUAGGGUCCGGGAGGGUAGAAUCAUGUUGCUAUAGGUUUCCCUCUUCUUUCUUUUCACCCUCUCUUUCUUUUUUUUNNNNNNNNNNNNNNNNNNNNUCAAUGCCUUUGAUGGUGUUACAAGAUUAUGAGCCUCCAAGAUGUUGCCAUGGGUGGGAGAAGAAGAUCGAUCCUUUCUACUUAGGAGGAACCCUUCCUUUAUAGAUUAGGAAGGUUCCCACUUACAACACACUUUCGAUGUGGGACACAUUACACAUAUUUCUUAUCACGAUGCCUCAUUGCCGUGCUUGGAGGAGGACCUCCUGAUGUGAUAUUGAUGAUCCGACUCCAUGAUGAUGUAGUUUGCAUGUCGGUCUACAAGUUUCAUGACUAGUCUAUGGGCGGGGAAGGUAGUUUAUCAACUACCGACUACAAGUCCCCCCAAGUUCCCGUUCAAGACGCGUCUUGAGUGGGGACUUGAUAUAUAAAGCGCCCAUAGACUAGUCAUUUAUUAACGGGCACUCGGCCCCAGUCCCCCCAAGUCCGUACUCAAGAGGUGUGUUGAACUGGUUUUGCGUGUUCCGGGUCUUGCUUGUCUUGACGUACACCAUAAUCUUUAAAUUCGCCGAUAAGACAAAAAUGCCCAUCCCAACUCCCGGCCUCAAAACUUAUUCGGCCAGGCGAGGAUUAUUGUACCUUCAUAAUAAACAAAUGAUCGAUUAGCAGCUUACAUAAUUUCUUGGUGGAAUGCCUCUCGGUCUAAUGCCAAUCUCCCGGUCGAAUGCGUAUCCCGCUUGAUAUUAGUCAGGAUGUUAAUGACUUAUGCCUCUCGGUCUAAUGCCUAUCCCGCUUGAUAUUACUCGGGAUUUUAAUGACUUAUACCUCUCGGUCGAAUGCCAAAACCUACUGACCAGCAUGCAUACUCAUAUACAUAUACAGGUUGACUUGCAAGUAAGACGAAAUCAUGUCAUCAAUAUUAUGAACUUUCACAAACCACGAGAUAGAGACUUAUAUGUGAAAAUAGCUGCUGAAUGGGUGCACCCAGUAGACCGAAAGUGUGAACUGUGAACACUAAAGUCUAUGGGCGGGGAAGGUAGUUUAUCAACUACCGACUACAAACCUGUUAAUGAGAUCUCGUUUAUUGGGAAUGAGAUACUUGAUCCAUUGUAAAACUGUGUUAAGGGGUUUGUAAUUAAUAACUAGACGAGGAGUCCCUCUUUCGAGUUCAGCAUUUUUCUGAACAUAGAAAGCUAGGCAAGACCAAGGGGAUUUACUUGGGCGAAUAAUAUCUUUGUUAA
This 3886-nucleotide long non-coding RNA is filed under the name Fragaria vesca (wild strawberry). RNAcentral's name for it is "long non-coding RNA (FVES_LNC001842)". Lineage: Eukaryota; Viridiplantae; Streptophyta; Magnoliopsida; Rosales; Rosaceae. The record is from RNAcentral.